AACGCUGGCGGCAGGCUUAACACAUGCAAGUCGAGCGGGCGUAGCAAUACGUCAGCGGCAGACGGGUGAGUAACGCGUGGGAACAUACCUUUUGGUUCGGAACAACACAGGGAAACUUGUGCUAAUACCGGAUAAGCCCUUACGGGGAAAGAUUUAUCGCCGAAAGAUUGGCCCGCGUCUGAUUAGCUAGUUGGUGAGGUAAUGGCUCACCAAGGCGACGAUCAGUAGCUGGUCUGAGAGGAUGAUCAGCCACAUUGGGACUGAGACACGGCCCAAACUCCUACGGGAGGCAGCAGUGGGGAAUAUUGGACAAUGGGGGCAACCCUGAUCCAGCCAUGCCGCGUGAGUGAUGAAGGCCCUAGGGUUGUAAAGCUCUUUUGUGCGGGAAGAUAAUGACGGUACCGCAAGAAUAAGCCCCGGCUAACUUCGUGCCAGCAGCCGCGGUAAUACGAAGGGGGCUAGCGUUGCUCGGAAUCACUGGGCGUAAAGGGUGCGUAGGCGGGUCU
Molecule: ribosomal RNA, 506 nt
Filed under: Bradyrhizobium sp. D202a
Lineage: Bacteria; Pseudomonadati; Pseudomonadota; Alphaproteobacteria; Hyphomicrobiales; Nitrobacteraceae
Description: bacterial SSU rRNA
Rfam family: Bacterial small subunit ribosomal RNA
Source: RNAcentral